This 497-nucleotide ribosomal RNA is filed under the name uncultured bacterium. Its description in RNAcentral is "partial 16S ribosomal RNA". It matches the Rfam family "Bacterial small subunit ribosomal RNA", at positions 28 to 507 of the family's 1533-position model. The record is from RNAcentral.
GAUGAACGCUGGCGGCGUGCCUAAUACAUGCAAGUCGAGCGAACAGACGAGGAGCUUGCUCCUCUGACGUUAGCGGCGGACGGGUGAGUAACACGUGGAUAACCUACCUAUAAUACUGGGAUAACUUCGGGAAACCGGAGCUAAUACCGGAUAAUAUAUUGAACCGCAUGGUUCAAUAGUGAAAGACGGUUUUGCUGUCACUUAUAGAUGGAUCCGCGCCGCAUUAGCUAGUUGGUAAGGUAACGGCUUACCAAGGCGACGAUGCGUAGCCGACGUGAGAGGGUGAUCGGCCACACUGGAACUGAGACACGGUCCAGACUCCUACGGGAGGCAGCAGUAGGGAAUCUUCCGCAAUGGGCGAAAGCCUGACGGAGCAACGCCGCGUGAGUGAUGAAGGUCUUCGGAUCGUAAAACUCUGUUAUUAGGGAAGAACAAAUGUGUAAGUAACUAUGCACGUCUUGACGGUACCUAAUCAGAAAGCCACGGCUAACUACGUG